GAUGAAGAACGCAGCGAAAUGCGAUAAGUAAUGUGAAUUGCAGAAUUCAGUGAAUCAUCGAAUCUUUGAACGCAUCUUGCGCUCCUUGGUAUUCUGAGGAGCAUGCCUGUUUGAGUGUCAUUAAAUUCUCAACUACACUGACUUUGAAUUGGUGUGGCUUGGAUUUGGGGGGGAAAAUUGUUGUGGGCUUUUUGUAUAGUCUGCUCCCCUGAAAUUGAUUAGCGGUACCUUUGUGGAACUGUCUACAGGUGUGAUAAUUAUCUACAUCCUAGACAUCUGCUGGAAUGCUGCUUUCUAAACCUUACUUGUAUUGACAAUCUUGACCUCAAAUCAUGUAGGACUACCCGCUGAACUUAAGCAUAUCAAUAAGCGGAGGA
This 377-nucleotide unclassified non-coding RNA is filed under the name soil metagenome. RNAcentral's name for it is "partial contains 5.8S ribosomal RNA, internal transcribed spacer 2, and large subunit ribosomal RNA". The stretch from base 1 to 120 matches the Rfam family "5.8S ribosomal RNA", at positions 35 to 154 of the family's 154-position model. The record is from RNAcentral.